UGUUCAAUUCUAUAAUUUGAAAGUUGAGAAUAUUUGCACACCCCUACCUUACAAGAUGGUAUUUACGUAAUUGUAGUGUGGGAAACAUGUUCAGUUACGGCUAAUGCUUGAGCGAACUUGAGAGGGUGGUAAUUUCACACUUCCACUGAUCUUUCUGCUGAACUGCCUCCAGCAAUGAAAACAAUGUGCAGAACGCGCACUGGGUGUCGCAUCGCACACUUGAUGACAAUCUGGUUAAAACUGGUGUGUCUAUGAGACACGUCGCCUCCUUUGUAGCAUAGAAUUUCCGAAGGAACGUUUUGUGGGAAACUAUGCUUUGUAAAGCGUUGCCACAGUACAGGUUCAAUAUUCUUGAACCAUUGCCAGAGGUAAAUGAUUUGUCAUUACUGAAAAAAAAAAAAAAUCAUGGAAAUAGCUGUGAUCCGACGCAACUUAUAUGCGCGUCACACGGCGCCCUUUCGAUCGCGAUCGAGCCCAACGGGGAUCGCAUUUCUCGGUCGCGAUUGGCUCCUUUGCGCAAGCUGCGAGGGGGCCGGGCCAAUCGCGGUCGAGUAUUUUGACCCCGAUGGUGCUCGAUCGCGAACGAAAGUGUCCGUGUGACAGCGGCAUUAUUUUCGACACAGACACGCGUCAGUCCCACUGCGUUUGCAACGACACACGGCAACAACGACAUUACGACAAUCACGUGACGUAAGCUACAUAAUGGUCGCAUUCGUACAAACGUGAACGUCAAAGUUGGCGAUCCAUCGCCCUUCGCGCCUAUGACCCACGCGUGCAUCCUAAUUUCGAGGCGCGUUCAACUAUGGAUUUCGACAGGCCGCGGCAGUCGCUGGGCAGAGCCGGCAUUCCUAUAAAUCCUCACAUCGCACGCGGCAAUUCGAGAACCGCCCGUCGAAAACGCGUGACAAAAACAGCAAAACCACAAACGAAGCACACGCCACCCGCACCAACCGAAACUGAAACUGGGCGGUCCACCAAGAGAGAGAAAAAAAAAAGUGUAAUCGUAUGCGACCCGCGCCGCCCCGGUCUCAUCGCCCUGCGCGAGUUCUCGCGAUUCCUUCAAAUCCGCAUUUUUUAUUUGCCCGCACCCUCUCGGGCCAGGUAGGACGUUUUGGUAGAGCAAGGUUUUCUUUCGAACACGCUCUUUCUCUCUCUCUCUCCCUCUCUCUCGCAUUUUCUUUUUUUUUUUUCUUUUUCGCGAAACCGAAUAUCGCGCGCGGGCCCCCCUAACUUUCGGGGCCAGUUCCCUGCGCCGCUCAUCGAGCAAGUUCACGUUCUCUCCCCCACUUUUUCUUGCUUUUCGUUACGUUCCGUUCCUCCGACUCCCGGCGGCGCGGCGCGUUGACGUUGUUUAAAGAUGGCGGCAUCCAUUAUUAAGGUUUGCGUUAGCGAGUCCCGGAUAAUUUAGCCCUGUUUUUCGUGCAUCGCCAUGGCUUAGUUUCGUUACAAAUGCGUCGACCGAGUCGAACGGGAGGUGCCGGGAGGAGCAUCGGUGACGCCGGAACCGGUCCGGAGGAAGUUAGAUCUCGUCGUACGGUUGGACGUUGCUGGAACGGCAACGGUUGGAGGAGCUUCUCUUUGGAGGGCGGACAAGCAGAAUGAUGAGCUGGCGACAACGGCUGGUCAGCGGUCCAAGUCCAACUUGGCAGGCCUGCAGUUGGACGGCCAGCUGCCAGGAGGAUGCCUUGUAGGGUCAGGAUCCGGGGACGAGGCACAGGCAUUGGUUGGUGUCGGCAGCAGUGGGAGCAGAAGAAGCCGCAGUGGCGGGAAAGCGGAGCAGGAUGGCGGGCAUCCUGUUCACCAUUGAACAGAUAGAGCUGAUCCGCAGGCUUCGGGCCUCGGGCAUCACCCGGGAUCAGGUGAUGAUGGCCUUUGAGCAGCUGGAUCGGCUCGACAUGGAGUUGGGCAGCGCGGCACCAUGUCCCGUGAUGCCCGCGCUGAUGCCGCGCGGGC
Dermacentor andersoni is the source of this 1953-nucleotide long non-coding RNA. RefSeq lists it as uncharacterized. Lineage: Eukaryota; Metazoa; Arthropoda; Arachnida; Ixodida; Ixodidae. The record is from RefSeq and is a predicted model, not a curated record.